GGGCUUGGCCCAUCCUGUAACAGUUUAGAACAAGUAGGGUUAGAUUCCUCCAAAUUUGGGCUCGGCCCGGCCCAUGCCCACCCCUACUUGCAUCCACACAAAAACUACACAAAAAAAUUGCCAAUGAGAUUGGAUAGCAUACCACAAUGUCAUGAAGCAAAAUUAACUUUAAUCAAGAAAUUAGCCACCUGAAAUCUGUCGGACAACUCUCCAACAAACCCAACUUUUUCUGGGUUUAUAUUUUCUCCCAAUCCAAAACGGAUUCAUCUAAAACACAAAGUCAGACGGGCUAAUCCUUUCACUGGACUGUGAUUUAACAAAGGUCCACCAUCACUCCAACAGUGCCUCUGCAUUGCUACUUGUUUCCUAGGUCCUGAACUGGAAAAUCCCCAAACAGCCAAAUCCAAAUUUUAUCAUCAAAACCAAAAUUAUAGUAAAAAAAAAUUAUUUUUCCGAAACUCUUCUAAAGGGCAGAAAGAGAGAAAGUACAAUUUAAGUUCGAAAACCUACAGAGGGGUUUUGGAGGAGAAGCAAAGAGGAGGAAAGGUGUGACCACCAUGACAACUCCAGGUUAGUCAUCCUGGAUUCAGUUUGCAGCAUAAUUACUACUACUUGCAAUGAUUCGCCUAUCAUUGUCUGGGGAGCAAAAACCUUGCAAAGACCAACAAUCCCAAAAAAUCAGUAUAUAUCACUCCUUGCAAAACUCCAAAGUCAGAAAAUGAGAAAAAUAAAAUUUCAUAACAUUAUACCUGAAGAAACCCCAAAUUUCCAGUCAAAGGGAAAUUAAUACAAUCUCUGCAAAAAAUAAUCAGAAGACAAAAACUCAAAUCUCAGAAAAAAAAAUCAGCAAAUUAAUCUUAUAAAUUGUGAUUUGGAAGAAAUUUUUGGAGGAGGGUAAGAUUGAAACGCACUGAGAGGCAAGCCUUGUAUUUCUGCAAUCCUUGUCCCAUUGGCCCUUCACAAACUUCUUCGAGUACGAUCCUACCUUUAACUUGAUUCGAAGGAAGGGCAUUGAAUGUUGACUCAACAAAAUUUUGCAAGUAAUGAAGUUGCGUAAUAAAUUUCACCUGAGAAGUUAAAGGGCACCAAGGUAAAUAAGGAAAAUUAAAACCAGUAACCACAUCAAUAUGAAUGAGCCUUAUGUUUAUUCUUUUCACUCAAACAUCAUUAUACCAUUACAGAAAAUCAGGAAUUUGAACAUCAGCUCGCGACUUCGCCUUUGAUUUGAACUCCACCAACUUCGAUGCAGUCCUUGGAUACACCCUUGCCUCCUUUGUCGUAGUCGAAUUCUUCGCUCACUAGUCAGCUUUUCUAAUUUCUACGUAAACCAUUGAUUCUAUUUGGGAAAUAAAUGGAACCCCUUAUGUUUUCUUGGCCAUAAUGGAUAUCAUCUUUGAUGAAUAUCAUCUGUGAGAAAACAAUUUGCUUUGUACACAUAAGUAACCACACAUUAGUAACCGUAAAUCGAAUUAAAACAAUUUGAUUAAUAUCAGUAACCACGACUAUAAUAACUACAAUUUGAACAUUUACCUCGAUCACAAAGUCUGUAACAUUUACCUCAA
This 1562-nucleotide long non-coding RNA is filed under the name Malus domestica (apple). RNAcentral describes it as "long non-coding RNA (MDOM_LNC008736)". The record is from RNAcentral. Lineage: Eukaryota; Viridiplantae; Streptophyta; Magnoliopsida; Rosales; Rosaceae.